RNAcentral lists this long non-coding RNA (211 nucleotides) under Salvia miltiorrhiza (redroot sage). RNAcentral's name for it is "long non-coding RNA (SMIL_LNC013724)". Lineage: Eukaryota; Viridiplantae; Streptophyta; Magnoliopsida; Lamiales; Lamiaceae. The record is from RNAcentral.
GAAUUAUGUUGGUAAAGAGCUCUGUGAAGCUCUAUGUGGCUAACGGACCAAACAAAUGAAGGAGAUGCAGAAAAAAUAAGCAACACACACCAAGUGUUCGACAAAACUCCAAGCUGAGAAGCUGCACAGAAAACAAACAAAGAGCAAGAAGCAAUGCGUCGUGGUGAAAACCACUGCCCUGAAAAUGAGAUUCGGCCGGCAAUGAGGUGCA